This 426-nucleotide ribosomal RNA is filed under the name uncultured prokaryote. RNAcentral describes it as "bacterial SSU rRNA". It matches the Rfam family "Bacterial small subunit ribosomal RNA", at positions 355 to 796 of the family's 1533-position model. The record is from RNAcentral.
UGGGGAAUUUUCCGCAAUGGGCGAAAGCCUGACGGAGCAAUACCGCGUGAGGGAGGAAGGCUUUUGGGUUGUAAACCUCUUUUCUUAGGGAAGAAGUUCUGACGGUACCUAAGGAAUCAGCAUCGGCUAACUCCGUGCCAGCAGCCGCGGUAAUACGGAGGAUGCAAGCGUUAUCCGGAAUUAUUGGGCGUAAGGCGCGCGUAGGCGGCUUAGUAAGUCGGAUGUGAAAGCCCCGGGCUUAACCUGGGAAUUGCAUUCGAUACUGCUGAGCUAGAGUAUGGUAGAGGGAAGUGGAAUUUCCGGUGUAGCGGUGAAAUGCGUAGAUAUCGGAAGGAACACCAGUGGCGAAGGCGACUUCCUGGGCCAAUACUGACGCUGAGGUGCGAAAGCGUGGGGAGCAAACAGGAUUAGAUACCCGUGUAGUCC